This 1368-nucleotide ribosomal RNA is filed under the name uncultured bacterium. Its description in RNAcentral is "bacterial SSU rRNA". It matches the Rfam family "Bacterial small subunit ribosomal RNA", at positions 28 to 1381 of the family's 1533-position model. The record is from RNAcentral.
GACGAACGCUGGCGGCGUGCCUAAUACAUGCAAGUAGAACGCUGAAGAGGGGAGCUUGCUCUUCUUGGAUGAGUUGCGAACGGGUGAGUAACGCGUAGGUAACCUGCCUUGUAGCGGGGGAUAACUAUUGGAAACGAUAGCUAAUACCGCAUAACAAUGGAUGACACAUGUCAUUUAUUUGAAAGGGGCAAUUGCUCCACUACAAGAUGGACCUGCGUUGUAUUAGCUAGUAGGUGAGGUAACGGCUCACCUAGGCGACGAUACAUAGCCGACCUGAGAGGGUGAUCGGCCACACUGGGACUGAGACACGGCCCAGACUCCUACGGGAGGCAGCAGUAGGGAAUCUUCGGCAAUGGGGGCAACCCUGACCGAGCAACGCCGCGUGAGUGAAGAAGGUUUUCGGAUCGUAAAGCUCUGUUGUAAGUCAAGAACGAGUGUGAGAGUGGAAAGUUCACACUGUGACGGUAGCUUACCAGAAAGGGACGGCUAACUACGUGCCAGCAGCCGCGGUAAUACGUAGGUCCCGAGCGUUGUCCGGAUUUAUUGGGCGUAAAGCGAGCGCAGGCGGUUUGAUAAGUCUGAAGUUAAGGCUGUGGCUCAACCAUAGUUCGCUUUGGAAACUGUCAAACUUGAGUGCAGAAGGGGAGAGUGGAAUUCCAUGUGUAGCGGUGAAAUGCGUAGAUAUAUGGAGGAACACCGGUGGCGAAAGCGGCUCUCUGGUCUGUAACUGACGCUGAGGCUCGAAAGCGUGGGGAGCGAACAGGAUUAGAUACCCUGGUAGUCCACGCCGUAAACGAUGAGUGCUAGGUGUUGGAUCCUUUCCGGGAUUCAGUGCCGCAGCUAACGCAUUAAGCACUCCGCCUGGGGAGUACGACCGCAAGGUUGAAACUCAAAGGAAUUGACGGGGGCCCGCACAAGCGGUGGAGCAUGUGGUUUAAUUCGAAGCAACGCGAAGAACCUUACCAGGUCUUGACAUCCCGAUGCUAUUUCUAGAGAUAGAAAGUUACUUCGGUACAUCGGUGACAGGUGGUGCAUGGUUGUCGUCAGCUCGUGUCGUGAGAUGUUGGGUUAAGUCCCGCAACGAGCGCAACCCCUAUUGUUAGUUGCCAUCAUUCAGUUGGGCACUCUAGCGAGACUGCCGGUAAUAAACCGGAGGAAGGUGGGGAUGACGUCAAAUCAUCAUGCCCCUUAUGACCUGGGCUACACACGUGCUACAAUGGUUGGUACAACGAGUUGCGAGUCGGUGACGGCAAGCUAAUCUCUUAAAGCCAAUCUCAGUUCGGAUUGUAGGCUGCAACUCGCCUACAUGAAGUCGGAAUCGCUAGUAAUCGCGGAUCAGCACGCCGCGGUGAAUACGUUCCCGGGCCU